UAACAAUGGAACACAUAGCAUUGAUUCCAAAUAACGUUUUAUGUUCAUAGAAAAAGCAGCAUUUUCAUGUGUGUACCAGUGCCAGUUCAGAGUGACUCCACCUUGGCCUGUGGGUUUUCCAGCUUUAUAUCAGCAAAAGCAAGUCCAGAGUUAGGGCCUGGCUUCUCUCCAAUGUGUUGAACCACUUUUGGCACGUGCAGCUCUUCACACAGAGAGCCAGUGGCUCUCAGCACAGUUCCAAGGCUGCAGGAGAGCUGGAAACGCACAUCUCUGCUUCCCUGAAGGACCUGUGACAUCUGUGAGAAAGAGCAAAACCUCCCUGGCCACUCUUCCACCACAUCCUUUGAACCUUCUGCAGAUGAGAUCUUCCUUUUCAUCCACUGAGAACACCAGCAGAGCCCAGUGCUCAGGGCAGAGAGGACAGGUGAAGAUCACUGACCUCUUCCCCAGCCCCACUCUGAACAUUCCUCAUGGCCUUGGAUGAAACUUUCCCAGGCUUCCACUUUCUUGUCUGCAGGACAGCAGUGACAGUGCUUAUUUUCUAUGUGUGCUGAAACACCUCUUGUAUUCACCUACUUGAGGCACAAAUUUACUGUAGAAUCUUUGCUGUGUAGAUCAACCUUCCCUCAGCUAGUUGUGUUUCUGGAAUUGAAGAGUGCAAAGUCAGAAUUUGGACCAGGUCUUUAGGCAAUAAGUACAUAUGUG
This 705-nucleotide long non-coding RNA is filed under the name Cyanistes caeruleus (blue tit). RNAcentral describes it as "lncRNA (ENSCCEG00000010643.1)". Lineage: Eukaryota; Metazoa; Chordata; Aves; Passeriformes; Paridae. The record is from RNAcentral.